AGCAGCCGCGGUAAUUCCAGCUCCAAUAGCGCAUAUUAAAGUUGUUGCAGUUAAAAAGCUCGUAGUUGAAUUUCGGGAUCAAUAUAUCGGUCGUGCCAUCGGUACGUACUGGUAUGAUUGGUUUCUCCUUUCUGACGAACCAUGAUGUCAUUAAUUUGGUGUCAUGGGAAGUUAGGACUGUUACUUUGAAAAAAUUAGAGUGUUUAAAGCAGGCUUUAGCUUGAAUACAUUAGCAUGGAAUAAUGAAAUAGGACGUUCGAACCUAUUUUGUUGGUUUCUAGGAUCAACGUAAUGAUUAAUAGGGAUAGUUGGGGGCAUUAGUAUUCAAUUGUCAGAGGUGAAAUUCUUGGAUUUAUUGAAGACUAACUACUGCGAAAGCAUUUGCCAAGGAUGUUUUCAUUAAUCAAGAACGAAAGUUAGGGGAUCGAAGACGAUCAGAUACCGUCGUAGUCUUAACCAUAAACUAUGCCGACUAGGGAUCGGAUGAUGUUAAUUUUUUAAUGACUCA
Molecule: ribosomal RNA, 508 nt
Filed under: uncultured Glomeromycotina
Lineage: Eukaryota; Fungi; Glomeromycota
Description: SSU rRNA
Rfam family: Eukaryotic small subunit ribosomal RNA
Source: RNAcentral